CUGGGUCUAAUACCGAAUAUGACCAUGCGCUUCACGGUGUGUGGUGGAAAGCUUUUGCGGUGUGGGAUGGGCCCGCGGCCUAUCAGCUUGUUGGUGGGGUAAUGGCCUACCAAGGCGACGACGGGUAGCCGGCCUGAGAGGGGUGUCCGGCCACACUGGGACUGAGAUACGGCCCAGACUCCUACGGGAGGCAGCAGUGGGGAAUAUUGCACAAUGGGCGCAAGCCUGAUGCAGCGACGCCGCGUGGGGGAUGACGGCCUUCGGGUUGUAAACCUCUUUCAGUAGGGACGAAGCGCAAGUGACGGUACCUACAGAAGAAGCACCGGCCAACUACGUGCCAGCAGCCGCGGUAAUACGUAGGGUGCGAGCGUUGUCCGGAAUUACUGGGCGUAAAGAGCUCGUAGGUGGUUUUGUCGCGUUGUUCGUGAAAUCUCACAACUUAAUUGUGAGCGUGCGGGCGAUACGGGCAGACUGGAGUACUGCAGGG
This 487-nucleotide ribosomal RNA is filed under the name uncultured bacterium. RNAcentral describes it as "bacterial SSU rRNA". It matches the Rfam family "Bacterial small subunit ribosomal RNA", at positions 157 to 656 of the family's 1533-position model. The record is from RNAcentral.